UACGUAGGGUGCGAGCGUUGUCCGGAAUUAUUGGGCGUAAAGGGCUCGUAGGCGGUUUGUCGCGUCGGGAGUGAAAUCCACUGGCUUAACUGGUGGCUUGCUUUCGAUACGGGCAGACUGGAGGUAUGCAGGGGAGAACGGAAUUCCUGGUGUAGCGGUGAAAUGCGCAGAUAUCAGGAGGAACACCCGUAGCGAAGGCAGCACUCUGGGCCGAUACUGACACUGAGGAGCGAAAGCGUGGGGAGCGAACAGG
This 253-nucleotide ribosomal RNA is filed under the name uncultured bacterium. RNAcentral describes it as "partial 16S ribosomal RNA". It matches the Rfam family "Bacterial small subunit ribosomal RNA", at positions 524 to 776 of the family's 1533-position model. The record is from RNAcentral.